RNAcentral lists this ribosomal RNA (301 nucleotides) under uncultured bacterium. RNAcentral describes it as "partial 16S ribosomal RNA". It matches the Rfam family "Bacterial small subunit ribosomal RNA", at positions 509 to 807 of the family's 1533-position model. The record is from RNAcentral.
CAGCAGCCGCGGGAAUACGUAGGUGGCAAGCGUUGUCCGGAAUUAUUGGGCGUAAAGGGCUCGCAGGCGGUUUCUUAAGUCUGAUGUGAAAGCCCCCGGCUUAACCGGGGAGGGUCAUUGGAAACUGGGAAACUUGAGUGCAGAAGAGGAGAGUGGAAUUCCACGUGUAGCGGUGAAAUGCGUAGAGAUGUGGAGGAACACCAGUGGCGAAGGCGACUCUCUGGUCUGUAACUGACGCUGAGGAGCGAAAGCGUGGGGAGCGAACGGGAUUAGAUACCCCCGUAGUCCCUGUCUCUUAUAC